CCUACGGGAGGCAGCAGUGGGGAAUAUUGGGCAAUGGGCGCAAGCCUGAACCAGCCACGCCGCGUGAAGGAAGAAGGCUUUCGGGUUGUAAACUUCUUUUCUCAGGGACGAAGCAAGUGACGGUACCUGAGGAAUAAGCCACGGCUAACUACGUGCCAGCAGCCGCGGUAAUACGUAGGUGGCAAGCGUUAUCCGGAUUUACUGGGUGUAAAGGGCGUGUAGGCGGGAAAGCAAGUCAGAUGUGAAAACCAUGGGCUCAACCUGUGGCCUGCAUUUGAAACUGUUGUUCUUGAGUGCUGGAGAGGCAUACGGAAUUCCGAGUGUAGCGGUGAAAUGCGUAGAUAUUAGGAGGAACACCAGUGGCGAAGGCGGUCUGCUGGACAGCAACUGACGCUGAGGCGCGAAAGCGUGGGGAGCAAACAGGAUUAGAUACCCUAGUAGUC
RNAcentral lists this ribosomal RNA (443 nucleotides) under uncultured bacterium. Its description in RNAcentral is "partial 16S ribosomal RNA". It matches the Rfam family "Bacterial small subunit ribosomal RNA", at positions 338 to 795 of the family's 1533-position model. The record is from RNAcentral.